AAAAAGGAGAGGGUAUUUUCCAAAUGAAAACUCAAAAAUAGGACAUUUUUCCAAAUUUACUCAAAUAUAAAUGCAAAACAAUUCGUUCAAACAUAACACAUGUGAAACAAGAUUAAUUAUCGUAAAGAAAAAGGUAAAACAAGAGUGAUAAAGAUAUUUAAUUUAAUUUUUAACAUGUUGGACUAAAAGUUUAAAUGUUGCGGCGGAGGUUGCGGUGGCAGAGAUAAAUGAAUUAUUGUAGAUAUUACGGUGGCCGCAGAGCAAUAUUGCCACGAAGAUGGAAGCGACGACCAGAACAAAAAAAAAUAUUCAAUUAAGGUAACUUAACAGUAGACCAAUCGAGACCAAACCACAUAUUAGCGAGGUUACGUCAAGUUUCCUUACUACAUUUGUAUGGCCUCGAUACCUGUAGAAAGGAUAAAGAAGCUUGCCCAAAGUACCAGAGAGAGCAUAAUCGCCAUGUUGAAACCAUUUUCGCUCAUAGUUUUAUUGGGAUGUGCGAAACGGCGGGAAAAUCAUUUUACUUUUAGAGAACGGCAGGAGAAAAUGCAUAACACGAAAACGCCAAAGAUUGCUCUUCAUUUAUUUUUAUUCUAACAAAUCUAGUUUUUAUUUU
Molecule: small RNA, 616 nt
Filed under: Arabidopsis thaliana (thale cress)
Lineage: Eukaryota; Viridiplantae; Streptophyta; Magnoliopsida; Brassicales; Brassicaceae
Description: ATSL222440
Source: RNAcentral